UGUUAAAAAUUUCACCUAUUUUUACUGUUAAAAACAGAUGCAAUUGACAUGAUAAACAAAAAGUUACACGUGGCAUGUUAUGUGUACAUCAUUUUAACGUACAUGGAUCAGUUUUUAAUUAUAGAAAUGAAUAAAAUUUUUAAUA
Gossypium hirsutum (cotton) is the source of this 145-nucleotide non-coding RNA. The record is from Rfam. NCBI's taxonomy places the organism in Eukaryota, Viridiplantae, Streptophyta, Magnoliopsida, Malvales, Malvaceae.